AGAGAUGGCUUAACAGUUGAGAGCACUGACCACUCUUACAGAGGACCAGGCGCAGUUCCCAGCACCGUGUGGCAGCCCACCGCUGUCCCUUAGCUGUCCCUUAGAUCUGACUCCCUCUUCGGUCUCUGUGGGCACCGCAGGAAAAAGUUGUUGUCCAACCUCUGGCCCAGGUUAAGCCCUCCCUGACCUGAUGGAUGGAUGCCUCGAAGGUGAGUGAGAUAAGUAGUCUACAGAGCUGAACCAUCGGUUUUCAACUCUGAUCUAGCUCAGUCUCCUUGGCUUCUCUUUUCUCUAGGCCUGGAACCAUUUUGUCCUUUCUUGUGACUACUUGUCCAGAGCGUCAAAAUUUAACACUCAGUUAAGAAUGCCUGUUUAUUCCUAUGUGUACAUAUGUGACAAUGAUUAAUGAAGAGGCCAUGAAUCUGAAAGAUAGCAAGGGUCUAGGAUCCUUCCAAAUACAGCCACGGGAGUGUUUCUUGGUGAUUCUAAGUCCAGUGACGUUGACAAUGGUCAUCACUACUUGAUAAAGUGGUACAAACCUUGGCACCUCAUCUUCGGGACUUUCUCCAAUGAAACGUGCAAACCUGAGCUCAUCCAGUGGGGGAAGAUGCUUUGAGGAUAACUCAGGAAGAGCCAUGACAUCGACAGGCAACGGCAGCUGAACCCACCAUGUACGCCAUGGUCCCUCUAACAUAGCCCUGGCUAUUCCAGGGCUCACUGUGUCGUUGGCCUCGAAAUCACAGAUCUGCCUGCCUUUCCCUUCCAAGGCUGGGACUAAAGGAUCGUGCUGACACCCAGCGCCUCUUGGACUCUUGCUGUGGACUCUUGCCCUCCUGCCUUCUGCCUCGGAUGACACAAUAUGAAGACCCUCACCAGGGCCAUGCUGGCAAAAUGUGCUUGAGAUUUCCCGGCCUCCAGAACCAUUAGCUGUUAAAUAAAUGUCUGUUGUCUAUGAA
This is a non-coding RNA of Rattus norvegicus (Norway rat), 956 nucleotides long. NCBI's taxonomy places the organism in Eukaryota, Metazoa, Chordata, Mammalia, Rodentia, Muridae. The record is from RefSeq and is a predicted model, not a curated record.